GGUUUGUGGUUUUUGCUCAUGACAUUAUUGUAGCUUCAUGUUAGAGAAAAGAGAUCAGACUCACAAACAGGACCUCUGUCCUCUGGUCUCCUGGUUUGGAUCUUAAAUGACUGAAGACACACAAGGGAGAAGAUGAUCUGCAGCAUCCUGCUGCUCAUCAUCCUGACCUCCUGUGUCUCUGGAACAUUUGUAGUGAAUGUGACCCAGACCUCCUAUCAGGCAGAGGAGAACCACGACAUCACACUGGAGUGGACCUUCACAACCAACCCUCACAGUUCCUCCAACUCUCUUAAUAUCUUCUGUGAACUGUUAACUGAUCUCAGACCCUCAGUCCUGUUUCAUCUCCAUGAAGGAGUUGAGGUCCCAGAGUCUCAGGAUGAACAGUUUGCAGGACGAGUCCAGUGGGACAAAGACGUCCUCAGAGAAGGACGACUCAGACUUCAUGUGUCCAGACUCAGGACUGAAGACUCAGGACUGUACAAGUGUCAAGUGUUCACAAGUCAUGAGAGGAGCUCUGGUAAAUGUUGGCUCAAUGUCACUGGUAAGUUGAUUCAGGAAAACUGGAGUUUUU
This 571-nucleotide long non-coding RNA is filed under the name Sander lucioperca (pikeperch). RNAcentral's name for it is "lncRNA (ENSSLUG00000000545.1)". The record is from RNAcentral. Lineage: Eukaryota; Metazoa; Chordata; Actinopteri; Perciformes; Percidae.